CUGAAGAAUAUGAAGAUGGAUACCCCUGGGUAGAGAUAGAACGAAACUUCUCGAAAGUUCAAGUCUAUUUUGACACACAAUUGAAAGGUACGAGCAAAAAUUUGUAUCAUCCAACUGUCGCAGAACGGCAGCGUUAUUAGCUGACCCAUUAACUGAAGAAUGCAUCUUUAAUCAACGGCUGCCCAUCGAAGGGCCCAGCCGCUUGAGUCUGGAAUCGGCAGGAAAGAUAAAGUAUAACCCGAGGUGGAUAGCGGUGGUCGUUUGAGGUGGUUGGCGGUUGUUGGAGGU
RNAcentral lists this long non-coding RNA (288 nucleotides) under Neodiprion pinetum (white pine sawfly). RNAcentral describes it as "uncharacterized LOC124224771". The record is from RNAcentral. Lineage: Eukaryota; Metazoa; Arthropoda; Insecta; Hymenoptera; Diprionidae.